GGCACUUGUGUUUUGCCUGCUGAUGGAGAAUGGAGACACUUUUCUUGAUUAUCGCACUUCAUGUGUCAGGAUUCACAGUUCUGGCACUACCUCAAGGUAAACAAU
This is a long non-coding RNA of Alosa sapidissima (American shad), 105 nucleotides long. RefSeq lists it as uncharacterized. The record is from RefSeq and is a predicted model, not a curated record. The transcript is spliced from 3 exons. Lineage: Eukaryota; Metazoa; Chordata; Actinopteri; Clupeiformes; Clupeidae.